RNAcentral lists this long non-coding RNA (202 nucleotides) under Gallus gallus (chicken). Lineage: Eukaryota; Metazoa; Chordata; Aves; Galliformes; Phasianidae. The record is from RNAcentral.
GGGAGCGCUCGGAAUCUGCUUUCUCGAUCUUGCCGGACAUGUCGGAGCCGGGGCUCGGCGCUCAGGCCCGGCCGCGCCAGGAGCCAGCGAGCGGCCGCGGCGCCGCCACCGCCGCCUCCUCCCGCUGCCGCCGGCCGGCCGCGAUCCGGGAAAGGCGCCGCGGCGGCCCCUGGGGCUCGGCAGGCAGGCAGGCAGCGCUCCC